This 712-nucleotide ribosomal RNA is filed under the name uncultured bacterium. RNAcentral's name for it is "bacterial SSU rRNA". It matches the Rfam family "Bacterial small subunit ribosomal RNA", at positions 9 to 765 of the family's 1533-position model. The record is from RNAcentral.
GAGUUUGAUCCUGGCUCAGAGCGAACGCUGGCGGCAGGCUUAACACAUGCAAGUCGAGCGGGCGUAGCAAUACGUCAGCGGCAGACGGGUGAGUAACGCGUGGGAACGUACCUUUUGGUUCGGAACAACCCAGGGAAACUUGGGCUAAUACCGGAUAAGCCCUUACGGGGAAAGAUUUAUCGCCGAAAGAUCGGCCCGCGUCUGAUUAGCUAGUUGGUGAGGUAACGGCUCACCAAGGCGACGAUCAGUAGCUGGUCUGAGAGGAUGAUCAGCCACAUUGGGACUGAGACACGGCCCAAACUCCUACGGGAGGCAGCAGUGGGGAAUAUUGGACAAUGGGCGCAAGCCUGAUCCAGCCAUGCCGCGUGAGUGAUGAAGGCCCUAGGGUUGUAAAGCUCUUUUGUGCGGGAAGAUAAUGACGGUACCGCAAGAAUAAGCCCCGGCUAACUUCGUGCCAGCAGCCGCGGUAAUACGAAGGGGGCUAGCGUUGCUCGGAAUCACUGGGCGUAAAGGGUGCGUAGGCGGGUCUUUAAGUCAGGGGUGAAAUCCUGGAGCUCAACUCCAGAACUGCCUUUGAUACUGAAGAUCUUGAGUUCGGGAGAGGUGAGUGGAACAGCGAGUGUAGAGGUGAAAUUCGUAGAUAUUCGCAAGAACACCAGUGGCGAAGGCGGCUCACUGGCCCGAUACUGACGCUGAGGCACGAAAGCGUGGG